UUGUGGACAUCAUCCCUGUUGUUGUGAUUGGAAUCAUAGGCGGACUUUUGGGAAGCCUCUACAAUUGUGUCCUCCACAAAGUUCUGAGGCUCUACAAUCUCAUCAACGAGUAAGCACCAACUCUUCCACAUUCCCAACUGGAUCAUCAAACAUUCAGUUGGUUCUCUAUAUUUAAAAGGCAAUGCAUAUCCACACAAAAAUGAGCUUACUUGGAUUAGAAUCAUCUUGAGACAUUGAUCCAACUGCCUUGCAUCUUUUUAAGUUUGAAUCCCAAUUCCUAUCCAAACAUGGUCUUUUUAUCACAUUUAACUGCCAAAAAAAGUUACUCUAUAGAUGUAAAAUCCUGACUUUCAAACUUUGAUCCUUUUUUAUCUUGCAG
Molecule: long non-coding RNA, 379 nt
Filed under: Nicotiana tabacum (common tobacco)
Lineage: Eukaryota; Viridiplantae; Streptophyta; Magnoliopsida; Solanales; Solanaceae
Description: long non-coding RNA (NTAB_LNC010234)
Source: RNAcentral